This 253-nucleotide unclassified non-coding RNA is filed under the name uncultured Flavobacteriaceae bacterium. RNAcentral's name for it is "contains 16S-23S intergenic spacer region". It matches the Rfam family "Bacterial small subunit ribosomal RNA", at positions 524 to 776 of the family's 1533-position model. Lineage: Bacteria; Pseudomonadati; Bacteroidota; Flavobacteriia; Flavobacteriales; Flavobacteriaceae. The record is from RNAcentral.
UACGGAGGGUGCAAGCGUUAUCCGGAAUCAUUGGGUUUAAAGGGUCCGCAGGCGGAUAAUUAAGUCAGAGGUGAAAUCCCACAGCUUAACUGUGGAACUGCCUUUGAUACUGGUUGUCUUGAAUUAUAGUGAAGUAGAUAGAAUGUGUAGUGUAGCGGUGAAAUGCGUAGAUAUUACACAGAAUACCGAUUGCGAAGGCAGUUUACUAACUAUAUAUUGACGCUAAUGGACGAAAGCGUGGGGAGCGAACAGG